GAUUCAACCUGCCAAUUCCAACAAGGGUCCCAGCAGGGAGGCGAGGCACUGAAGGGAACAGCGGGGGGGAAGGAGACGAGAAGGAACAGCCACUGACUCAUCGCAUAUGGCGGCGUCUCAACGGUUGCCGAAUGGCCGACUUCCCCGCCCAUUUUCAGGAUCUUAAACUCCUCUUAUUGAAAAGCCUGAAUAUUCCCAAGAGGAGGUCUACUGUAUCGAGAGGCCGCUAUAGACCGCUACCGCUAAUUCUGAAAGUAUUUCAUAAUUCCCUCAAGCACACUUCAGGGAGGAGACACUUCAACUGAUCCGAUUAAGAAAGGAGUGUGCUUCGCGCGCGCUCGCCCGAACGAACACCCUGUUGCGUUCCUCUUUUCAAAUGAGUGCCAGUCAGGUGGCCGCGCCUGGAAGAGGACCAAUCACGUGGCCGCGCCUGGAAGAAGACCAAUCACGUGGCCGCGCCUGGAAGAGAAACCAACCACGUAGCCGCGCCUGGAAAAGGGCCAAUCACGUGGCAGCGCCUGGAAGAGGAUCAGUCACGUGACCGCGCCUGGAAGAGGGCCAAGAAAAAUGACCGUGCCCUUGGGUGGAUAUUCUAGUCAUUCCAGAGAAACCGGGUAAUUAAU
Molecule: long non-coding RNA, 623 nt
Filed under: Penaeus japonicus
Lineage: Eukaryota; Metazoa; Arthropoda; Malacostraca; Decapoda; Penaeidae
Description: uncharacterized LOC122268150
Source: RNAcentral